RNAcentral lists this ribosomal RNA (254 nucleotides) under uncultured bacterium. RNAcentral describes it as "partial 16S ribosomal RNA". It matches the Rfam family "Bacterial small subunit ribosomal RNA", at positions 524 to 776 of the family's 1533-position model. The record is from RNAcentral.
UACGGGGGGAGCAAGCGUUGUUCGGAUUUACUGGGCGUAAAGGGCGCGUAGGCGGCCAGCGCAAGUCAGUUGUGAAAUCUCCGGGCUUAACUCGGAACGGUCAACUGAUACUGCGCGGCUAGAGUGCAGAAGGGGCAACUGGAAUUCUCGGUGUAGCGGUGAAAUGCGUAGAUAUCGGGAGGAACACCAGUGGCGAAGGCGGCACUCUGGGCCGGAACUGACGCUGAGGAGCGAAAGCGUGGGGAGCGAACAGG